Molecule: ribosomal RNA, 376 nt
Filed under: uncultured eukaryote
Lineage: Eukaryota
Description: partial 18S ribosomal RNA
Rfam family: Eukaryotic small subunit ribosomal RNA
Source: RNAcentral
CAAGAGCGUAUAUUAAAGUUGCUGCGGUUAAAAAGCUCGUAGUUGGAUUUCAGUCUAGGAAGGUUAACUCGCCGAAAGGUUGUACGUUGAUUUUCCUCAGACUUCGUCAGAAGCUCGUGCCGCACUUAACUGUGUGGUACGAUGUUCUGACCUUUUACCUUGAGGAAAGUAGAGUGUUUCAGGCAGGCUACCCAGCUUGAAUACAUUAGCAUGGAAUAAUGAAAUGGAUCUCGGUUCGAUUUCGUUGGUUCUAGAGCUGAGGUGAUGAUCAAUAGGAACAGGCGAAGGUAUUCGUACUUGAGAGUGAGGAGUGAAAUCCGAUGAUCUCUUAAAGACGAUCCGAGGCGAAAGCAUUUGUCAAGGAUGUUUUCAUUGA